Molecule: ribosomal RNA, 465 nt
Filed under: uncultured bacterium
Lineage: Bacteria
Description: partial 16S ribosomal RNA
Rfam family: Bacterial small subunit ribosomal RNA
Source: RNAcentral
GACGAACGCUGGCGGCGUGCUUAACACAUGCCAGUCGAACGGAAAGGCCCUGCUUGCAGGGUACUCGAGUGGCGAACGGGUGAGUAACACGUGGGUGAUCUGCCCUGCACUUCGGGAUAAGCCUGGGAAACUGGGUCUAUUACCGGAUAGGAGCCAUCUUGAGUGUGGUGGUGGGAAAGAUUUUUCGGUGUGGGAUGAGCUCGCGGCCUAUCAGCUUGUUGGUGGGGUAAUUGCCUACCAAGGCGGCGACUGGUAGGCGGCCUGAGAGGGUGGACGGGCAAAAUGGGAAUGGGAUAAGGGCCAGACUCCUACGGGGGGCAGCAGGGGGGAAAUUUGGACAAUGGGGGGAAGCCUGAUGCAGCGACGGCGGGUGGGGGAUGAAGGGCUUCGGGUUGGAAACCCGUUUCGCCCGGGACGAAGCUGUUUGUGACGGUAACUAGAUAAGAAGCACCGGCUAACUACGUG